Non-coding RNA from Sapajus apella (tufted capuchin), 594 nucleotides. The record is from the annotation of a RefSeq genome assembly. Lineage: Eukaryota; Metazoa; Chordata; Mammalia; Primates; Cebidae.
UGAUCACGUCACAAGCAGGUUGCUGACAGGGGGUGAGGAGGCCUUACAGAAAAAGCCACCACCACGAUUUCUCUCCGAGCCAACCAUGUGCCUCAGACUUCUCUACUGUGUGGCCCUUUCUUUCUUGGGAGCAGGCUCCUUGGACACCAAGGUCACCCAGAGACCUAGACAUGUGGUCACAGUGAAGGAACAGAAAGCAAAGAUGGAUUGUGUUCCUAUGAAAGGACAUAGUUAUGUUUACUGGUAUCGUAAGAAGCUGGAAGAAGAGCUCAAGUUUUUGGUUUACCUGCAGAAUGGAGAAAUCAUUCAGAAAGCAGAAGUGAUCAAUGAGCGAUUUUCAGCCCAAUGCCCCGAAAACUCACCCUGUGCCUUGGAGAUCCAGUCUACUGAGUCAGGGGAUGCAGGACUGUAUUUCUGUGCCAGCAGCAAAGCCACAGUGUCAAAUGUUAGCCUUUCUUAGAACACAAACUCAUCACGGACCCAGCUCAGGAAAUAAGUGGUAUAUCAGGUUGGUAGGAACUAUAAUAUCAGAAACCAAGCUUGAAAGACAAUAAAUCAGAAGGAAAAACUUGUAAAUAACAGCUCUAAGUGAGG